CCUACGGGUGGCAGCAGUGGGGAAUAUUGCGCAAUGGGCGAAAGCCUGACGCAGCGACGCCGCGUGAGGGAUGAAGGUCUUCGGAUCGUAAACCUCUGUCAGCAGGGAAGAACGGUCACUGUGCUAAUCAGCAGUGAAUUGACGGUACCUGCAAAGGAAGCACCGGCUAACUCCGUGCCAGCAGCCGCGGUAAUACGGAGGGUGCGAGCGUUAAUCGGAAUUACUGGGCGUAAAGCGCUCGUAGGCGGUAUGUCAAGUCAAGGGUGAAAUCCCCGCGCUCAACGUGGGAACUGCCUUUGAAACUGGCAAACUGGAGUGUGUGAGAGGAUAGUGGAAUUCCAGGUGUAGGAGUGAAAUGCGUAGAGAUCUGGAGGAACAUCAGUGGCGAAGGCGACUAUCUGGCACAUAACUGACGCUGAGGAGCGAAAGCGUGGGUAGCAAACAGGAUUAGAUACCCGAGUAGUC
Molecule: ribosomal RNA, 465 nt
Filed under: uncultured bacterium
Lineage: Bacteria
Description: partial 16S ribosomal RNA
Rfam family: Bacterial small subunit ribosomal RNA
Source: RNAcentral